Molecule: ribosomal RNA, 494 nt
Filed under: uncultured bacterium
Lineage: Bacteria
Description: partial 16S ribosomal RNA
Rfam family: Bacterial small subunit ribosomal RNA
Source: RNAcentral
GACGAACGCUGGCGGCGUGCUUAACACAUGCAAGUCGAACGGUGAAGCGCCUUCCUUUUUGGUGGGUGUGGAUGAGUGGCGAACGGGUGAGUAACACGUGAGUAACCUGCCCCCUUCUUCUGGAUAACCGCAUGAAAGUGUGGCUAAUACGGGAUAUUCUGGGUCUGUCGCAUGAUGGGUCUGGGAAAGAUAUUGUUUCGGUGGGGGAUGGGCUCGCGGCCUAUCAGCUGGUUGGUGGGGUGAUGGCCUACCAAGGCGGUGACGGGUAGCCGGCCUGAGAGGGUGGACGGUCACACUGGGACUGAGACACGGACCAGACUCAUACGGGAGGCAGCAGUGGGGAAUAUUGCACAAUGGGCGCAAGCCUGAUGCAGCGACGCCGCGUGAGGGAGGGAGGCCUUCGGGUUGUGAACCUCUUUCGCAAGUGAAGCAGGCCUGCCUCGUUUGUGGGUGGGUUGACGGUAGCUGGAUAAGAAGCGCCGGCUAACUACGUG